Molecule: long non-coding RNA, 1641 nt
Organism: Brassica napus (rape)
Lineage: Eukaryota; Viridiplantae; Streptophyta; Magnoliopsida; Brassicales; Brassicaceae
Exons: 5
Source: RefSeq, a predicted model, not a curated record
AAAAGCCAGAUAUCCUGAAAUUCUAAGCUGUCCACGUCACUAAAAAUAUUCCUCCAAUCACAAUAUUUCGUUUGGACACGUCAUACAGGUUUAAGUUUUUUCUGGGCUUCACGUUUUCUUUUUAUUUAGAGUCUGGGCUUUGUUCACGAGGAUUAGUCACGAGAGCUUCUCUUUCACCUUAUCGUCUUCUCUGCUUCAAACCCUAGAGUCCUCCAUCGAUCCACUUCUUCUCAAUCAUAACUCCUCUUCUUCUCAAUCAAUCAAUUUCUUCUUAAUGAUUUCGUUUCAGUUUCCUCUAUUCCUCAUCCUUUAUAUACUGAUUUACUUUCGUUUGAAAAAAUCAAAACCCCUGAUCUGCUCUAACCUAGAUUCAUGGCGAUGAAACCGAAUGGGAAGUCAAUUGUCUCCUCUGGUUACGAUGAGAAAGUCAUGUUCUUCAAAGAUGUCUCGCUGGGUCACCACGAAGCUCAGUUGCGAUUUCGCCUCAUCCAUUUUUGGGAGGCUUGGAACCCAGUAAAGAAGACGUUUAUCGGCCUGGAGAUGCUACUCAUCGAUGAACAGGGAGCUGUUAUUCAAGGAUUUAUUUCCCCAUGACGUAUUGAAAAAUACUUGCCUGACAUGAAGUGAGGAUCUGUUUACAAACUCAACAACUUCUAUGGAUCCAGAAACAAGUCUGUGUUUCGGGUUGCUGAUCAUACCGCAACCGUGUCGUUCUCAUGGGACUCAAAACUGUCGGUUCUUCGAGACUGUCGCACCCCUUUUGAUGAAGACAGUUUCCGGUUUCAUUCGUAUGAAGAGUUUCAAGCUAACUCUGAUCUCAAGGGAGAUCUCUUCGAUGUUGUGGGCCACAUGAAGUUGGUUGAUAGUCAGAGUAUCAAUAAGUUCCCCGUGCUUGACGAAGUGGAGAUAGCAAAGGCGAGGCGUCUGCUGGUUCAUAUCCAGUCACAUGAUGGACCCGUGAUGAAGCUUUACCUUUGGGAUCAGGCUGCAAGAAAAUUCUGCAAAAAGUUCAAUUCAUACGAAAAUACACCCACCGUGUUACUGGUCACGACCGUAAACACGAAGACUCUCGGAGGUACUCUUGCCUUGGCACCAAUGUCCUCCUCGCGUGUAGUUAUGAAAUACGAUGUCCAACCUACUAUCGAUUACUUCGGCUGUCCCGGAAGCUCUAAUCAGCACAAUCGGGCAAAGACAUAAGUUUUGUGUCAAAGUGACAGAGCACAAUUUAUCAGGCAAGACCCAGUCCCUUACUGUGACCAAGAUCCUCCCUCUAGACACAGCCAGCAACAGUAUCCUCGGAAGGAAACAACACGACUGCAACUUCGGAGGAAACAUUCAAAAGCCGUGUGGAUUCUGCAGAGGGGAGUAAGAGGACUUGUGACAGUGAUGAGAUAGAAGAAGCUAAAUGCCAUAAACGUGGGAAUUAAAGGUUCAGUACGUCUCCUAAACUUGCAAGGUUCAUUGCAGUUUAAGUGUUUUUUUCUCAGUUUCGUUUUUUACUCAUGUUUUCCUUUCAGUUUAACUUUCAGAGUUUUCUUUCUUUCCAACAUUUUAUCUACUUCGAAUGAUUAUGAAACCAUGAGCUGUGCACUAUUACUUUUCUCCUUCAAGAUUACUUUGCUGAGUUAUUCAUUUAGAAUU